CCGGGACACGAGCCCAGAACCGACUCCACCCCGCUCUGCUCGCGGCACCCCUCUCCUCCUCCUCGUCCUUGGCAUGCGGCUCCCUGGAGGGUGAGAGGAGACAGGGCAGGGUUCUGGGGUCCAGAGCGCAGCCCUGUCCGCAGCCGCCUGAGCAGUCACGUCUCGGCUGGGAUUUCUCCUUCUCUGUGGAUGCUGUAGCAGCAGCACUGAAUCUGCACCCCUCGGGGCUGUUGUGGGGGCAGGAGGUAAGUGAAGUCAGUGACACCGUGUCUGGGCCUGGGGCUCAGUAAAGGACAGGUGUGUACACUUAUCAACUCACACAGGUCUGGGCAUCGAGAGCCCCGCUCCCGACCCAGGGACACCCCUGCCCCUUCUCUGACGCUGGCAGCAGCAGGAGAGGACACUGGCUCCCUGUCUCCUCUUCAAGUGGCGGAGCAGCCGGCCUGUAAGUGAGAGGUGAGUGGGGUCAUAGGUGACCUCAGCUUCUUGUCCCCGUCCGUAUUCCUGGACAAGGAGGAUGGUGGAAGGACGGAGGACAAGGCAGUGCCUCUGGAAAUCCAAAAUGCCAAGUCCCAGCCCAGGUGCCUCCCUCCCACCGAGGAGCCUCUGGUGUCCUGGUCGCCUCUGGACGUGGUGUGGCCACCAGAAGAACCGGGCAGCUCCAAGGGGCCCCCUGCUGGCCUGAGGAGUUGCUGCGGCCACAAAGAAGAGGUGCGCUCACUCCCCACACCCGCUGACCCAGGACCCAGCUCAGGGACCCAGACCAUGCCAAGCACUUCGCUGGGAGCCACCGGGAAACAGCAUCUCCCCACAGCCCUGCGAGCUGGGCCUUUCACAGAUGUGAGGCCCUGGAGGAGACUGUCCCGUCAGGCUGCUCCCAAAAAUCCACUGUCAGGGAAACAAGCAAGAGGCAGAACAUGAAUAAAAAUAACAUGAAAGU
This 940-nucleotide long non-coding RNA is filed under the name Equus caballus (horse). Its description in RNAcentral is "lncRNA (ENSECAG00000032673.3)". The record is from RNAcentral. Lineage: Eukaryota; Metazoa; Chordata; Mammalia; Perissodactyla; Equidae.